Non-coding RNA from Hydra vulgaris (swiftwater hydra), 1811 nucleotides. The record is from RefSeq and is a predicted model, not a curated record. Lineage: Eukaryota; Metazoa; Cnidaria; Hydrozoa; Anthoathecata; Hydridae.
AUUUGGAAAAAGAAUGUUGUCCCAAGUUUAUAUGCUCAUCAUGUACAACAAACCUUCAUACUUUAAACAGAUCAAAAACACAACAAAUUGAAAAGUGGAUACAUAAAAUAUCACAGGUACUAUUUGUACGUAUCGCAGACAUUAAUUUUAAAUAUAGAAAUAGUAGUGUAAUUUUUUUUUUUUUUUUGUCUUUUAGUUGUUUUUUUUUGUUUGUAAAAAUGAGAUGUAAAGAUCAUGAUCAUGAUAUCAAAAUGCAGAAAAUAUGUUGUCUGUGCUUUUCAGUUACUGCCAAGCUGUUAACAAUCUUAUUAGUCAUUCAGAAGCACUGGGGCAUGUAUGUAGUGAACAAAUAGCAUCAGGACUACUCAAAAAUAAAAUGAAGAGAGAAAAUAUUAAACGUGGUGAAAAUUUUCCCAAAAUACACUAAAUGUUAUUGUUGGAAGACCAGAUACAAAGUCUAAACGAAUAUCGUUUAAAAAGUUGCCCUUUGAUGUUAUAAUGGAAUUGUCAAACACCUUGUUUUUGUCUAAAAGAAUAACACAAAUUCUUUGCACUAACUUGAGUGAAAAUCUUGGCAAAAAUAUGGUUGCUACCAAUAUUAGGCUUCAAAUGGAAAAAUUACACGAUUCUUUGUUAGAAUUUUAUGAUGUCAAAAAAGAAACAUUUAUAUCAGGAGAUGAAAAGUUAACAUGCAGCCUUGAGUUGUUACAAAUACAUCAGAUCUUAUUCUUUACACAAUGAAAUAAAGAGACUUAGAUCCUUAUUCCAGUAUAGCAAGACUUUUAGUAGAUUCAGGACAAGGAUUUCUGAAAUGUAUUUUAAAUGUUUUUGGUCCUUUAGUCAAACAUUCGAGCUCAAAAAAAUUGAUGAAGCUGGUGUAAAACGAUCUAUAAUUUUGUCUUUAGUUAAAGAUGCUUGGAAAUACAAUGGUAACCUUAACUUACUUCUAGCUCCACUAAGAUUAGAAGAUAUUACAUAUUCAGUAGCAUUUGAUCUUAAAUGCAGAAAUUUUUUAUUUGGUCUGAGUAGCCGCAGUGGUAAAUUUGCAUGUCUCUAGUGUGAGGGUGAAUGUUUACUUGAAAGUGGUGUCAAAAGAACGUUUGGGUCCAUAGACUCUAACUAAAAAAAAUUUAUUGCAGAUGGUUGCAAAUAUAAGCAAAUGAAAUAAUUCAAAAAUUGUAUUUCUCCAAUAAUUCUUUACCUUAAUGAGCCUCUAGAAACCUUAGUUGAACAUAGCAUUCCACCUCCAGAGCUUCAUCUUUUCACUGGGUUUGAAUCAUGGCUAAAGACUAAUUAUAUUAUGGUGCGAGGCUAUCAUGGAAUUGGGUUGGAUGGCAAUAAUGCACAAAGAUUUUUAGAUAAUUUGGAUGAUUUUGAGAUAAACCUUAUAAGUGCAGCCUUAAUAGAUCCAAAUAUUAGGUUGCUUCUUCCAGUUAUUGGUUGUACAAGAAAGUUUUCAAUUGUAAAAAAAAAAAGGAUUUGGAAUGAAAGUAAAGGAGUUCUUGUAUAAGUCAGUUUUAGACUUUAAAAAUUCAUUCAAAAUUUUUAAGGUCAUCUAAAAGAUAGCUUUGAAUACCAAUUACAUGUAAGCUUGAAAAUCCAUUUACUUGUUUGCCAUCUUUAUCUGUUCCUCCAACAUAAUAAAUAUGGUUUGGGUGUAUAUGCUGAACAAGCAGGAGAGAGUGCACACCAGCACCACCAUCAAGUAUGGAAAAAGUAUAAAAGACAUUCAGAACAUAAUGAUUAUUCACAGCUAAAGAAAAGUGUUUGGAAAAAAUUAAUAUACAUUUAUACAUUUUUUUUUUAUCUAU